UUUUUUUUCUUUCAAAUGACAUUAUGAGCCGACUCUACUCGCCGACUCGACAGAUAGUCGCAGGUUACUUGAGAUAAACUACCUGGAGGACAAGCAAGACACCUUUGGAAAGUGGACUCGAGGGCCUUCGUGGUUUUGUAAAAGUACAAGAAUGAACCCCGUGAAUAUGAACAGUUUGAACGUAUCCAUCUCUGGAAACCAGCACGCGAAUCAGUUCGCCGUCUAUGAGUCUCCGCUGUACAAGGACUACAGACCUCCAGCCAGAGAUCUGAUCCAGCUCCCCAGAGCCCUGCUCUACCUGAUGAUGGCCGCGGUGGUGGUGGUCGCUGUCGCUUAUGCCAUUGUGGGACAUUUAAUUAAAGACCUCGCGCAUGACAUCUUGGACUGGGCUUUGGGUCCAGAUGAGGAGAUCUUAAAGGUCAACAGUGAGGCGGGUGAUGAUGGUUCCACGCACAUGCCACCAGGCCUCACACACUCCCACCCCAACGCCUUUCAUGUUUGGGAUCAGGACGACGUGGUCAUCCCCCUCUCUCCAGUGGACAGCCCUCAAACCAGCCCCCUUUUGGCUACCAUCCCUUUUAUCCCUCACUUCUUCCCCUCUCCUGCUUCUCACAGUGUGCUGAAUAGCCCCGCACUGCCUCAAAUACACCCAGAGGAUAACAAGAGCCCCACAAAGACACCACAAGAUGCCUAUGUCUUCCCUUCACCCAAAAUGAAAGGACAUAGUUCCGCUUUCUCACACAUGUCAUUUCAUGAGAGAAGAGAUGGGACUGAUAAAGUUUGAACCACCGAACAAUGGCUCACACUAGAUUGUAGUCCAUGAAUUCUUAAAGGAAUAGUUCACCAUAAAAAGAAAAUUUGCUGAAUAUUUACUCACUCUCAGGACAUCCAAGAUGUCAAUAAGUUUGUUUCUUCAUCAGAACAGUUUUGGAGAAAUUAUAUCACUUGCUCACCAGUGGAUCCUCUGCAGUGAAUGGGUGCCGUCAGACUGAGAGUCCAAACAGCUGAUAAAAACAUCACAAAAAUCUACACCUUAUGAAGUGAAAAAUGGCAUGUUUGCAAUAAGCAAAUCCAUUAUUAAGAUGCUUUUAAUAAUGAAUUCGUAAAUUUUCUUUAAUAAUUAACUUUCUCUUGUGAAAAUGUUGUCUUGUCUGAAUCAGGAGUGAAAUAUCCACAAAUCAAGUACUGUUUACAAGCGAAAACAUUAAAAACUACAAAACAGUUCUAAACAAAUAUGUUGGUGGAUUUUAAUGUGAGAGGACAAGAGGAUGGACUUUUUCCACUGUUUAUUUUAUUAUGGACAUAAUCAUGGACUUUUUUUUGGCCAAAAGUGACAAUUAAAAUUUACACUUCCCAAUACGUUAAUUGUUUGACUAAAAUCUUGUUGAUUUCUUGUGGAUUAUUUUUAUCAGCUGUUUGCACUCUCAUUCUGACGGCACCCAUUCACUGCAGAGGAUCCUCUGGUGAGCAAGUGAUGUAAUGCUAAAUUUAUACAAAUCUUUUCAGAUGAGGAAACAAACUCAUCCUCAUCUUGGAUAGCUUGAGGGUGAGGACAUUUUUAUUUUUGGGUGAACUAUUUUUUUAAGUUUAAAUCCCUCCCUUUAAAUAGAUGAAAUUAACUAAGAAACUUUUGGCUUCUUUGAUCAAUGCCCAAUGCCGGUGUUGUCUGUAUUUACCACAGUACCCUAAACUUUUCUAUUUGACUGCAAAAGCUGGGCCUCAACCUGUGGAGCAUAUGAGGAUGAGUGGCCUGUCCUCAAAAUAAGUGCUGUUGACCCUAAAUGACCUCAGUAAGCAGAGAGCAAUGUCAGUCCAAGCCGCAUUACUUGGGCGUGUUGCAAAGUGAGAGACUGCACAAUCACGUCUGUAGGAUUGUGCCAAUUCAGGAGCAGCCUUCCUCCUGAAGCCAAAAUAAAUCCUCAGAACAGAUUUAGUUCAACGCAGGAUAACCAGCAUAUAUAUAUAUAUAUAUAUGUUUUUUCUUUUUCUGUCUUUGCCGUUUAUGGUGUUGCACAGAAUUAGUACUGAACCUAUGGCUACUUUUGUAAGGAAAGUUAAACUGGAUUGGAUUUAGAAUCCAAAGUGUUAUUGUCAAGGUUUAUUAACUAGUGGCUCUAUUCAAAACAAACAAAAAAAAAAAGUUCUCCAAUGUAUUUAUUGUAUGUGUGUUCUGGCUCCAGAAUUAACACUUGCAAACACCAAAUUAAGUAAAAAUGGUUUAGAUAUUUUAAUAUAUUAAUAUUUUAAAAAUAUCUUUAAUAAAAUGAAACAUAUGGCUUCAUGGUCAGUAAAAUGUGUUAUAUAUUUGAUUAAUUUCAGUCUUAAAAAUAAAGGUUCUUUAUUGGCGAACAUCCAUGGAAACUUUUCAAUGCACAAAAGGUUAUUUAGAGUGGAAAACAGGUUAUUUAGAUUAUUAAAAUGUUCUUCACAUAAAAGGAAAAAAAUGAUUCUUUUAAGAACUGCAAAAUGUACAUUUUGGACCCUGGGUGUGUGUGUUUUUUACACACUGUUUUGCUUCUGUUUCAGUUGUGUUUAAGGGUUGCUGAAUGUGAUGUUAAGUAUUGCACCAUUACAGGAUCAGCUUAACUGACUAGCUGGUUAAGAGCAAGAAUUAAAGUGUUUAGUAAGGAUGUUAUCAGAUUAGACUCCUCUUUUUGCCCUGUGAGUUAAACCUGAGAGAAAACCAGUGACAGAUAUGGCAAACAUAUCCACUCAUGUUUUAUAUAUAUAUACUGUUGGAUUUUUUUUUUUAAAUGUUGUCUAUGAUAUGGAUAUGGUUUCC
This is a long non-coding RNA of Cyprinus carpio carpio, 2782 nucleotides long. The record is from Ensembl. NCBI's taxonomy places the organism in Eukaryota, Metazoa, Chordata, Actinopteri, Cypriniformes, Cyprinidae.